RNAcentral lists this long non-coding RNA (822 nucleotides) under Pectinophora gossypiella (pink bollworm). RNAcentral's name for it is "uncharacterized LOC126370340". The record is from RNAcentral. Lineage: Eukaryota; Metazoa; Arthropoda; Insecta; Lepidoptera; Gelechiidae.
UCUUUACAUUAAUCAUCAAGAAAAAAAAUACGUAAGACAUGGCUGUAUGGGCAUAGUUCCCUUUGCCUUACCCUUUGGGGAAAACCAAAACAAAUAACAAUAACUUCAACCCAAAUUCUGUCGCAUCUAUAAUAAAAUACAAUAAUUAACUUAAUUUUAUUGAAUAAAAAGCCCAAAACUGAUAAAUUCCUCACAAAGUAAACGGUCAAGAGAUGUUGAGACAAUCUAAACUUGUAACAUAAAGAGGAAUUUAUUUAUAUAUCCACUACUAUUACUUUGAGAUUAUUUUGUUGAAUACGAAAUGAGUUGAGAGCAUUUAGUUCUGACGAUCAAGAAGGAAUAUCACACAGGAUUCAUCAUCAUGCAAAUGUUGAGGUUAUGCUGCUCUACAUCAUACGUACUAAAGAAAUAAAUAAAAAGAAUUAACGAAAAUAACAUAAGUGUGAGAGUAGAAUCUGUGACGCCAACUAAAGUAAUACAUGAACAGUGUCUUCACCUAGAAUUAAUAAAUAAUGUACUAGUGGAAAUGAGACGUUGGUUUUUAUAAUUGGAAGUGGAAUUUUAUAAUUAUUUUCGAUUCAUCAUCAUCAUCAGCCCAUUAACGUUCCCACUGCUGGAGCACGGGCCUUCCCUACAGAGUGAUAGGGAGAUCGGGCAAUAAACCAUCACGCGGGCCCAGUGCAGAUUGAUGGUUAUUAUCAACUGCUAAUGCAGCCGGGACCAAUGGCUUAACAUGCCUUCCGAAGCACAGAGGAGCUCGAGAUGAAAACUUUUUUUUUUUGUGGUUCGAUUAUGUUGAAUAAAUUAAUCUUUAAUCUCAAA